This 492-nucleotide ribosomal RNA is filed under the name uncultured bacterium. RNAcentral's name for it is "partial 16S ribosomal RNA". It matches the Rfam family "Bacterial small subunit ribosomal RNA", at positions 29 to 507 of the family's 1533-position model. The record is from RNAcentral.
AGUGAACGCUGGCGGUAGGCCUAACACAUGCAAGUCGAACGGCAGCACAGUAAGAGCUUGCUCUUACGGGUGGCGAGUGGCGGACGGGUGAGGAAUACAUCGGAAUCUACUUUUUCGUGGGGGAUAACGUAGGGAAACUUACGCUAAUACCGCAUACGACCUACGGGUGAAAGCAGGGGAUCUUCGGACCUUGCGCGAUUGAAUGAGCCGAUGUCGGAUUAGCUAGUUGGCGGGGUAAAGGCCCACCAAGGCGACGAUCCGUAGCUGGUCUGAGAGGAUGCUCAGCCACACUGGGACUGAGAAACGGUCCAGACUCCUACGGGAGGCAGCAGUGGGGAAUAUUGGACAAUGGGCGCAAGCCUGAUCCAGCCAUACCGCGUGGGUGAAGAAGGCCUUCGGGUUGUAAAGCCCUUUUGUUGGGAAAGAAAAGCAGCAGGUUAAUACCCCGCUGUUCUGACGGUACCCAAAGAAUAAGCACCGGCUAACUUCGUG